AUCCAGCUGACGAGUCCCAGAUGGGACAAAACGCGCUUCCUGGAU
Molecule: non-coding RNA, 45 nt
Organism: Schistosoma mattheei
Lineage: Eukaryota; Metazoa; Platyhelminthes; Trematoda; Strigeidida; Schistosomatidae
Source: Rfam